RNAcentral lists this ribosomal RNA (397 nucleotides) under uncultured Anaerotruncus sp. Its description in RNAcentral is "bacterial SSU rRNA". It matches the Rfam family "Bacterial small subunit ribosomal RNA", at positions 355 to 769 of the family's 1533-position model. Lineage: Bacteria; Bacillati; Bacillota; Clostridia; Eubacteriales; Oscillospiraceae. The record is from RNAcentral.
UGGGGAAUAUUGCACAAUGGAGGAAACUCUGAUGCAGCGACGCCGCGUGAGUGAUGAAGUAGUUCGCUAUGUAAAGCUCUAUCAGCAGGGAAGAUAGUGACGGUACCUGACUAAGAAGCUCCGGCUAAAUACGUGCCAGCAGCCGCGGUAAUACGUAGGUGGCAAGCGUUGUCCGGAAUUACUGGGUGUAAAGGGAGAGUAGGCGGGAUUGCAAGUCCGUUGUUAAAUCUAUCGGCUUAACCGGUAGCUGCGGCGGAAACUGUAGUUCUUGAGUGAAGUAGAGGCAGGCGGAAUUCCUAGUGUAGCGGUGAAAUGCGUAGAUAUUAGGAGGAACACCAGUGGCGAAGGCGGCCUGCUGGGGCUUUAACUGACGCUGAGGCUCGAAAGUGUGGGGAGC